AAAUUGAAGAGUUUGAUCAUGGCUCAGAUUGAACGCUGGCGGCAGGCCUAACACAUGCAAGUCGAACGGUAACAGGAAUCAGCUUGCUGAUUUGCUGACGAGUGGCGGACGGGUGAGUAAUGUCUGGGAAACUGCCUGAUGGAGGGGGAUAACUACUGGAAACGGUA
Molecule: ribosomal RNA, 167 nt
Filed under: Escherichia coli
Lineage: Bacteria; Pseudomonadati; Pseudomonadota; Gammaproteobacteria; Enterobacterales; Enterobacteriaceae
Description: partial 16S ribosomal RNA
Rfam family: Bacterial small subunit ribosomal RNA
Source: RNAcentral